GAUUAACGCUGGCGGCGUGCAUAACACAUGCAAGUCGAACGAUGAAACUUAAAUGAUUUCUUCGGAAUGAACUUAAGUGGAUUAGUGGCGGACGGGUGAGUAACGCGUGAGUAACCUGCCUUACACAAGGGGAUAGCCGUUGGAAACGACGAAUAAUACCCUAUGAUGUUUCUAUCUCGCAUGAGAUAUUAACCAAAGUGUUAGCGGUGUAAGAUGGACUUGCGUCUGAUUAGCUAGUUGGUGAGAAAAAAGCCCACCAAGGCAACGAUCAGUAGCCGGCUUGAGAGAGUGUACGGCCACAUUGGGACUGAGACACGGCCCAGACUCCUACGGGAGGCAGCAGUGGGGAAUUUGGCACAAUGGGGGAAACCCUGAUGCAGCGACGCCGCGUGAUUUAGAAGGUCUUCGGGUUGUAAAAAUCUUUUGUAUAGGAAGAAAAUGACAGUACUAUACGAAUAAGGUCCGGCUAAUUACGUG
Molecule: ribosomal RNA, 477 nt
Filed under: uncultured bacterium
Lineage: Bacteria
Description: partial 16S ribosomal RNA
Rfam family: Bacterial small subunit ribosomal RNA
Source: RNAcentral